This 413-nucleotide ribosomal RNA is filed under the name uncultured bacterium. Its description in RNAcentral is "bacterial SSU rRNA". It matches the Rfam family "Bacterial small subunit ribosomal RNA", at positions 997 to 1411 of the family's 1533-position model. The record is from RNAcentral.
GGCUGAGAGAUCAGCUGUUCCCUUCGGGGACAGAAUGACAGGUGGUGCAUGGUUGUCGUCAACUCGUGUCGUGAGAUGUUGGGUUAAGUCCCGCAACGAGCGCAACCCUUAUGACUAGUUGCCAGCAUUUAGUUGGGCACUCUAGUAAGACUACCGGUGACAAACCGGAGGAAGGUGGGGAUGACGUCAAAUCAUCAUGCCCCUUAUGACCUGGGCUACACACGUGCUACAAUGGAUGGUACAACGAGUUGCGAGACCGCGAGGUCAAGCUAAUCUCUUAAAGCCAUUCUCAGUUCGGACUGAAGGCUGCAACUCGCCUACACGAAGUCGGAAUCGCUAGUAAUCGCGGAUCAGCACGCCGCGGUGAAUACGUUCCCGGGUCUUGUACACACCGAAUCCAAUUCCCGCGGCCC